AUUUCGAACGACGGAAGCAGCUUGUCGCUGACAGUGGCGGACGGGUGAGUAAUGUCUGGGAAACUGCCUGAUGGAGGGGGAUAACUACUGGAAACGGUAGCUAAUACCGCAUAACGUCGCAAGACAAAGAGGGGGACCUUCGGGCCUCUUGCCUCGGAUGUGCCCAGAUGGGAUUAGUCUAGUAGGUGGGGUAACGGCUCACUCUAGGCGACGAAUCCCCCUAGGCUGGGUCUGAAGAGGAUGACCAGNCAACACUGGGAAACUGGAGAACACGGUUCCCAGNAACUCCCUAACGGGANGGCAGCAGGNUUGGGGAAAUUAUUUGCAACAAAUGGGCGCAAAGCCCUGAUGUCAAGCAUGCCGCCGUUGUAUUGAAAGAAAGGCCUUCGGGGUUGUAACAGUUACUUUUCAGGCGGGGGACGGAACGCGUGUUGGAGGGUUAAUAAACCUUCCAGGCAAAUUUGACGUUAUCCCGAAGAAGAAAGGCAACCCGGGCUAACUCCGGU
RNAcentral lists this ribosomal RNA (506 nucleotides) under uncultured bacterium. Its description in RNAcentral is "bacterial SSU rRNA". The stretch from base 1 to 307 matches the Rfam family "Bacterial small subunit ribosomal RNA", at positions 59 to 354 of the family's 1533-position model. The record is from RNAcentral.